UUCUUUUAUUAAUCAUCUGUCUUGCUGGGCUGGAAAGUCAGGGACAAGACUGUGGAAGUAAAAAUGGUAACAAAAUAUGCUGCAGUGGUUUUUGGUACGAGCAAAAAACUAACCAAUGUUUACAAUGUCCAAACGGAUACUAUGGUGAUAACUGCUCAGAUGUCUGUCCAUACCCCUUUUUUGGAGAGCUCUGCACGCAAACAUGUAACUGUUCGGUACACUUAUGUCAUGUAGUUUGAGGAUGCUUUACCGAAAGCUCAGAACCUCCGGUGUUACAUGCUGCAGUAAUUACUGGUACAAUAAAGAGAGUCAUGAAUGUGUUGAAUGUAAUCCAGGAUACUUUGGUACAAAUUGUAUGGAAAUAUGUCCUUUCCCAUUUUAUGGCAUACUGUGUAAACAGAGUUGCAACUGUUCGGAGGGUGACUGUAAUUAUGAGACAGGAUGUACAUUACCAGAUGCCAAACCUAACGAAAACAUCACACAAGUACACUCACGUGGCGGCAAAAUCAAUGAUUUAGGACAACAUCGUAUUUAUUUUCGCAUUGGCGCAAUUGGUAUUAUAGUUUUUCUAACAGUUUUUGUUAUACUCUUCGCUAUUAUCGAAUUUUACCUAAGGAGACGAGGACGUUCGGAUGAACAAAUUACUUGUGCUGAAAAUGAAGCAACAUAUCAGGAGAUAACAUUACAAUAAAAAAAUGGGGGUCUUUUACUCCCAGUACAUAUCCACUCUCUACAUGAACCAUCACAUAACCCACCAGGGAUAUUUAUGAAUAAACAAAAUGAGAGCACUGAACUGCAGACGUAUAAUUAUGAAUCAUCACCAAAAUGAAAAUAUUUAAUGGACAAAGAUGUGUACUUCAUAUUUUAUAAACAGUUCAGCGAAAACGUCAAUUGUCAAACAUUUACAAUAUACGCUCUGAAAACUGGAAUCUCAGAAAAAACGAAAUUCACUAGGAAGUAGAAGAAAAAAACAUGAUCAUUGGAAGAAAAAAUCAAUAUGUAUCAAUAACCAUUUUGACUGAGGCUCGGACUUCCAAAGUAUUGAAACUUGUUGUAGUGGAUGCCUUUAAAAGAAAUAAGGAACAGUACACGAAACAUGACUAUGUAGAAUUUAAUUUUAAAAGAAACAAAUAUCAUGUUAUUAUUGAAUAGAUUCUGUUGAUGAGUAAUCAAUACAGUUAUGUUAUUUUUAAUUUAAGUCA
Saccostrea cuccullata (small rock oyster) is the source of this 1202-nucleotide long non-coding RNA. RefSeq lists it as uncharacterized. The record is from RefSeq and is a predicted model, not a curated record. NCBI's taxonomy places the organism in Eukaryota, Metazoa, Mollusca, Bivalvia, Ostreida, Ostreidae. The transcript has 6 exons.